AUGGAACGAGUGGCGGACGGGUGAGUAACACGUGGGUGGAACCUGCCCUUAAGUGGGGGAUAACAUUUGGAAACAGAUGCUAAUACCGCAUAGAUCCAAGAACCGCAUGUUGUUCUUGGCUGAAAGAUGGCGUAAGCUAUCGCUUUUGGAUGGACCCGCGGCGUAUUAGCUAGUUGGUGAGAAGUAAUGGCUCACCAAGGCGAUGAUACGUAGCCGAACUGAGAGGUUGAUCGGCCACAUUGGGACUGAGACACCGGCCCAAACUCCUACGGGAGGCAGCAGUAGGGAAUCUUCCACAAUGGACGCAAGUCUGAUGGAGCAACGACCGCGUGAGUGAAGAAGGCUUUCGGGUCGUAAAACUCUGUUGUUGGAGAAGAAUGGUCGGCAGAGUAACUAGUUGUCGGCGUGACGGUAUCCAACCAGAAAGCCACGGCUAACUACGUGCCAGCAGCCGCGGUAAUACGUAGGUGGCAAGCGUUAUCCGGAUUUAUUGGGCGUAAAGCGAGCGCAGGCGGUUUUUUAAGUCUGAUGUGAAA
This 536-nucleotide ribosomal RNA is filed under the name Lacticaseibacillus casei. RNAcentral describes it as "bacterial SSU rRNA". It matches the Rfam family "Bacterial small subunit ribosomal RNA", at positions 86 to 599 of the family's 1533-position model. Lineage: Bacteria; Bacillati; Bacillota; Bacilli; Lactobacillales; Lactobacillaceae. The record is from RNAcentral.